Molecule: ribosomal RNA, 466 nt
Filed under: uncultured bacterium
Lineage: Bacteria
Description: partial 16S ribosomal RNA
Rfam family: Bacterial small subunit ribosomal RNA
Source: RNAcentral
GACGAACGCUGGCGGUGUGCUUAACACAUGCAAGUCGAACGGUAAGGCCCUUUCGGGGGUACACGAGUGGCGCACGGGUGAGUAACAUGUGAGUAACCUGCCCUCAUCUCUGGGAUAACAGUCGGAAACGGUUGCUAAUACUGGAUAUGAGCUUGCAAGGCAUCUUGUGGGUUGGAAAGAUUUUUUUGGUUGGGGAUGGACUCGCGGCCUAUCAGCUUGUUGGUGAGGUAGUGGCUCACCAAGGCUUCGACGGGUAGCCGGCCUGAGAGGGCGACCGGCCACAUUGGGACUGAGAUACGGCCCAAACUCCUACGGGAGGCAGCAGUGGGGAAUAUUGCACAAUGGACGGAAGUCUGAUGCAGCAACGCCGCGUGCGGGAUGACGGCCUUCGGGUUGGAAACCGCUUUCAAUUGUGACGAAGCUUUUUGUGACGGUAGCAGUAGAAGAAGCACCGGCUAACUACGUG